Molecule: ribosomal RNA, 253 nt
Filed under: uncultured bacterium
Lineage: Bacteria
Description: partial 16S ribosomal RNA
Rfam family: Bacterial small subunit ribosomal RNA
Source: RNAcentral
UACGUAGGGUGCAAGCGUUGUCCGGAAUUAUUGGGCGUAAAGAGCUCGUAGGCGGUUUGUCGCGUCUGCUGUGAAAACCCGGGGCUUAACCCUGGGCUUGCAGUGGAUACGGGCAGACUAGAGGCAGGUAGGGGAGAAUGGAAUUCCCGGUGUAGCGGUGAAAUGCGCAGAUAUCGGGAGGAACACCGGUGGCGAAGGCGGUUCUCUGGGCCUGACCUGACGCUGAGGAGCGAAAGCGUGGGGAGCGAACAGG